AUGUUAGAACGUUCCGGCAAGCAGAGGGCCAGCCACAACCACCGAGCUGGCCUCGUCUCUGGGGCAGUUGGGAACCGGCUUGCACGCUUGAACUUGGCCAGUAGAAAAUUUUGCAGUGGAUUCCAAAAGUAUGUGGUUCCAAACACUUGCUUGGUUCUAGGCACAGUAAGACGUUGUGCUAUAAGGACUGGAGGGGGGCGUCCUGCUGGCACGGAGCCCCAACCCUGCCGCCCGCCCGCCUUGUGGCAUCCGCCCUGCGCAGCAGACAGUGGGUUCGGGCAGGGAGCAGCCCCUUGCACUUGCCGAAGCACUCGUGGUACACACGCACACUGCGCUCGCUGAGCUCCAGGCCCAGCGCCAGGCUGGCCGCCAGCUCCUUCUUGCAGGGCGGCGGGUAGGCGCCGCCGUACAGCAGCGCGUUGCACAGGCGCUCGGCGUCCGUCUUGGUGAUGAGCCCGCACGAGGGCGCCGAGAAGGGCAGGAUGCCCAUGACUUUGAGGAUCUCCAGCUGGUCGGCCGUGCAGCGCGAGCAGUAGAUGUGAAGCUCGUCGCACACCGAGUUGAUCUGUUGCAGCGAGAAGUCGCGCAGCACGGAGUUGAGGAUCUGCGGCAGACACAGCCGCUUCUCGCCGCCCACCACGAAACCCGAGAUGGUCUCGCCC
This 662-nucleotide long non-coding RNA is filed under the name Ovis aries (sheep). RNAcentral describes it as "lncRNA (ENSOARG00000025455.1)". The record is from RNAcentral. Lineage: Eukaryota; Metazoa; Chordata; Mammalia; Artiodactyla; Bovidae.